GUCGAAUUUCCAGCAAUUGUCGAUCAUUUGCUAAUUAUUUGUUAAUUAGUCUGACUUUUUAGUGCAUCAAUUUAUGAGAGAUUAAUGAACAGACAGAUUCUGGUAUUUAACAAACUCUCUCGGCAGCAGUUGAGAGUUCUGUUCCUUCCUGCUGUGAUCGUAAUUGCUGUUAUGAAAAGUCAAACUCCAUUGAGACACUUUUACAACCAUGUCCUCUAGUGUAUCAUAUUCCUGGGACAACACACGAGGUCUCUGGGACAACACACGAGGUCUCUGGGACAACACACGAGGUCUCUGGGACAACACACGAGGUCUCUGGGACAACACAUGAGGUCUCUGGGACAACAUGAGGUCUGUGGGACAACACACAAGGUCUCUGGGACAACACAUGAGGUCUCUGGGACAACACAUGAGGUCUCUGGGACAACACAUGAGGUCUGUGGGACAACAUGAGGUCUGUGGGACAACACACAAGGUCUCUGGGACAGCACAUGAGGUCUCUGGGACAACACAUGAGGUCUCUGGGACAACACAUGAGGUCUGUGGGACAACAUGAGGUAUCUGGGAUAGCACAAGGUCUCUGGGACAGCACAUGACGUCUCUGGGACAAUGUAAACCUUCAGCGACAGCAGCGUAAUACUCACUAUCUAGCCUACGUUUCAUUACUGUGGGAUCCUCUAACUAAGAUACUGUAUGUCCUUUUUUCCUUGAUUCAACUAGG
Oncorhynchus tshawytscha (Chinook salmon) is the source of this 721-nucleotide long non-coding RNA. The record is from Ensembl. NCBI's taxonomy places the organism in Eukaryota, Metazoa, Chordata, Actinopteri, Salmoniformes, Salmonidae.